GAUGCUUGCAUUGAUGAAAGAUGAGCGGCGGACGGGUGAGUAACGCGUGGGUAACCUGCCCUAUACACAUGGAUAACAUACUGAAAAGUUUACUAAUACAUGAUAAUAUAUAUUUACGGCAUCGUAGAUAUAUCAAAGUGUUAGCGGUAUAGGAUGGACCCGCGUCUGAUUAGCUAGUUGGUGAGAUAACUGCCCACCAAGGCGACGAUCAGUAGCCGACCUGAGAGGGUGAUCGGCCACAUUGGAACUGAGACACGGUCCAAACUCCUACGGGAGGCAGCAGUGGGGAAUAUUGCACAAUGGGCGCAAGCCUGAUGCAGCAACGCCGCGUGAACGAUGAAGGUCUUCGGAUCGUAAAGUUCUGUUGCAGGGGAAGAUAAUGACGGUACCCUGUGAGGAAGCCCCGGCUAACUACGUGCCUGCAGCCGCGGUAAUACGUAGGGGCUAGCGUUAUCCGGAUUUACUGGGCGUAAAGGGUGCGUAGGUGGUCUUUCAAGUCGGUGGUUAAAGGCUACGGCUCAACCGUAGUUAGCCUCCGAAACUGGAAGACUUGAGUGCAGGAGAGGAAAGUGGAAUUCCCAGUGUAGCGGUGAAAUGCGUAGAUAUUGGGAGGAACACCUAGUAGCGAAGGCGGCUUUCUGGACUGCAACUGACACUGAGGCACGAAAGCGUGGGUAGCUAAACAGGAUUAGAUACCCUGGUAGUCCACGCUGUAAACGAUGAGUACUAGGUGUCGGGGGUUACCCCCCUCGGUGCCGCAGCUACGCAUUAAGUACUCCGCCUGGGGAGUACUGCACGC
RNAcentral lists this ribosomal RNA (799 nucleotides) under uncultured Clostridia bacterium. RNAcentral's name for it is "bacterial SSU rRNA". It matches the Rfam family "Bacterial small subunit ribosomal RNA", at positions 68 to 889 of the family's 1533-position model. The record is from RNAcentral. Lineage: Bacteria; Bacillati; Bacillota; Clostridia.